RNAcentral lists this ribosomal RNA (871 nucleotides) under uncultured bacterium. Its description in RNAcentral is "bacterial SSU rRNA". It matches the Rfam family "Bacterial small subunit ribosomal RNA", at positions 10 to 879 of the family's 1533-position model. The record is from RNAcentral.
AGUUUGAUCCUGGCUCAGGAUGAACGCUGGCGGCGUGCCUAAUACAUGCAAGUCGAACGAAUCUCUUUUAGAGAUGAGUGGCGAACGGGUGAGUAAUACAUAGGUAACCUGCCCCUGUGCGGGGGAUAACAGGAGGAAACUCCUGCUAAUACCGCAUAGCCAUGAGCACCGCAUGGAGCUCAUGCCAAAUAUCCUUUAUGGGAUAGCGCAGGGAUGGACCUAUGGCGCAUUAGCUGGUUGGCGGGGCAACGGCCCACCAAGGCAACGAUGCGUAGCCGGCCUGAGAGGGCGGACGGCCACAUUGGGACUGUGACACGGCCCAGACUCCUACGGGAGGCAGCAGUAGGGAAUUUUCGGCAAUGGGGGAAACCCUGACCGAGCAACGCCGCGUGAGCGAAGAAGGCCUUCGGGUCGUAAAGCUCUGUUGUAAAGGAAGAACGGCGCAUACAGGAAAUGGUAUGCGAGUGACGGUACUUUACCAGAAAGCCACGGCUAACUACGUGCCAGCAGCCGCGGUAAUACGUAGGUGGCGAGCGUUAUCCGGAAUCAUUGGGCGUAAAGAGGGAGCAGGCGGCCGCAAGGGUCUGUGGUGAAAGACCGAAGCUAAACUUCGGUAAGCCAUGGAAACCGGGCGGCUAGAGUGCGGAAGAGGAUCGUGGAAUUCCAUGUGUAGCGGUGAAAUGCGUAGAUAUAUGGAGGAACACCAGUGGCGAAGGCGACGGUCUGGGCCGCAACUGACGCUCAUUCCCGAAAGCGUGGGGAGCAAAUAGGAUUAGAUACCCUAGUAGUCCACGCCGUAAACGAUGGUCACUAAGUGUCGGGGGUCAAACCCCGGUGCUGCAGUCAACGCAAUAAGUGACCCGCCUGAGUA